Molecule: transfer RNA, 123 nt
Filed under: Fusarium pseudograminearum CS3096
Lineage: Eukaryota; Fungi; Ascomycota; Sordariomycetes; Hypocreales; Nectriaceae
Description: tRNA-Ile for anticodon UAU
Source: RNAcentral
AGCAACUUGGCGCAGUGGAAGCGCGGUAUGUUUAUCUCAAGCGUCUCAUAGUGACUCUUUACUAACGCACACAUAGCCGGGCUCAUAACCCGGAGGUCGCUCGAUCGAAACGAGUAGUUGCUA